RNAcentral lists this transfer-messenger RNA (391 nucleotides) under Chloroflexota bacterium. Its description in RNAcentral is "Chloroflexi bacterium transfer-messenger RNA". It matches the Rfam family "transfer-messenger RNA". Rfam says of the family: Bacterial tmRNA, also known as 10Sa RNA or SsrA, is named for its dual tRNA and mRNA-like properties. Its role is to liberate the mRNA from a stalled ribosome. Lineage: Bacteria; Bacillati; Chloroflexota. The record is from RNAcentral.
GGGAGCGAACCAGAUUCGACGUUGGUGGCUGAAAGCGCACUGCAAGCCGUGGCGCCACAACACGCAAAACUGGCAACGCACAUAGGUGCAAAACCCAACUUCCAACCCCUCCCAAUGGUUGCUUAGGCAACCGGGAUAAGGGUGUAGGGACCAAAAGUUCCCUACCGCUCCUGCGAGAUCGUCUCCUGGCACGAUCUGCAACGAGUGUCAUAAAAAGCCCGGGCGCCCACCGCUUAUGCCGAUAACGCGGUGCCAAGUCCAAUCGGCUAGCGCACAGCAAACCGCGCCCACUGGGGAUGCCGCGCGCGAAGACUAACAGCGGGCUAAGCUUGUAGAUGUGCGCCUUUCGAAACCAGCGGACCCGGGGGGCAGGUCCCCGGCGCUUCCACUC